GGCGCCGCAGCCAGCCUACAGCUGGUGUUCUCUGCUCUGCUUGGUGCGCGCCGCAACGGCACGAGUUUUCCAUGUAGGCGACUCGGCCGUGCGACACAGAAGAGUGCGAACAUAGCAUGAACAACUCUUUCUGUCUGAUGCUCGCUCUUCUUUGUGGAUUUCCUUAAAAAAACAGCAACACAAACAACUUUCAACAACUUUGCUUCUUCUACAACAACAACAACAAGACAAGAACAACAAGAACUAGAACAAGAACUGUUUGCAGCCACAACAAACACACACGCACACACGCACGGGAAAAAAAAUCUGAACGGAAUAUUUACCGAGCAGCAGUUGCGGAGUUGGGCGCAGCGACAGCCGCGAGUGCACUUUUCCAUAACCAGCGGCAGCAGCAGCAGGAGCCACGCCCACAGAGCCAACCGAAAAACAAACAAACAGCAGCCACAGAAAAAAUAAAACAAAAUGGCGGCUUUCAUUGCGAAACAGAUGGUUGGAAACCAAUUAAGUGCCGUUAAAGAUGCUGCAGGCGGAGGUGAUGGUGGCGAUGAUGGCGACGACAAGGAAAAGGCAGAGGAGGAGGAGAGAGAGCGCCUGGAGGCCAUACGCGAGGCCGAGGAGCGGCGCAAGGAGAAGCACCGAAAGAUGGAGGAGGAGCGCGAAAAGAUGAGGCAGGACAUACGCGACAAGUACAACAUCAAGAAAAAGGAGGAAAUUGUCGAGGCAAUGCCACAGGAGGAGCCAAAUCCGUUGAUGCGAAAAAAGAAGACGCCCGAGGAGCUCGCCGCCGAGGCCGAGCAGGAGGAGCUCGACGAUUUUACAAAACUGAAAAAUCAAAUAGAAACGCAAGUAAAUGAGCUAAAAACUCAAAUAGAGGGAAAAUGUGUCAUGCAGUGAUAUGUCAGUCAUCAUAAAAGAUAUAUAAAUAAAUAAAUAAAUAACGAUAAUAAUAUCCAAUUCAAAUAAUAACUGAUCAAACCCAAAACCGAUUAAACGAAACAUUUAUAAAAUGCAAUUGAUUUCAAUCACACUCAACUUCAAUUUGUUGCUAUUAAUAUAAAGAUAUAAAGUUGCAAGCAAACCAAAAAAAAAAAAAAACAAAGAAGAAGAAGAAGAAAAAUAAACAAAUAUUAUGUUCGAAACGUUCUGCAUAAUAUUGGAAAAGCAUAAACAAAUAUUCUAUUUACCAUACUUAUAAAACACGACACAUAAUUCGGCAGCAAUAAAUCAACCAAAGAAUAUAUAAAACGCCGCAAAGAUUGAGGUUAUGUGAAGCAUAAGGAUUAUAUACUAUUAUUAUAUCAUAAUAGCUACAACAAUAAAACGAAAACCAAUAAUACCGCAAAUAGUAUAAUAAUAAUAAAAAGAAAAGGAUAAAGAGACAUAUGUACUAUAUUUGAAAACAGGACGGUGAAAUCCUAUUGAAUUUUAAAGUAGUUAAAGCAUAAACCAAAUUAUGUAUAAACGAAAUAUAGUAAACGCCUUUAAUAAUAUUCAAAUCACUUUUGCUUCGAUGAUAAUGUAAUAUACUCAAAGCCCCAAAAAAAAAAAAGAAAAACGAAAAAAAAAUGCAUAACCGUUGUUUAGUUGAUAGCAUUGCGAAAUUUACGAUAACGAUAACGAGUUCGAAAUCGAAAUCGAAACUAAAUAAAAACUGCGAUUGGUGCGACAGAGACAGAAACAGAAAUUAACGGAGGUGUUGCUGAACCAUGUCGAACCGUCGAAAUACGUUGCUGAAAAUCUCUUUUUUUGGACUUAAAUAACACACACAAACAUACCUAUCUAAUAUACCCGAAAGGAUACUGGAUACCAUGCUCUAUAAUACGAUAAACUAGCCUAUAUAUAUAUAUAUAUAUAUAAACAGCUUCUUCUAUUGUUGAUAUAUUUCCGACACGAAUUCAAGCGAAAUUCCCCCAACAAAAUUGACUGCAGAAAUGGUAAAAAACUCAUCGUUGGUACUCGAAAUGAUUUAACCAAAAGCAAAAGAAUACCAAAAAUUGAAUUCAAAUUACUCAUGAUCGUUUGUUUUAUUAAGCUCAAGAGAACUCUUCCCUAACAGCUGUAACAUUUUGUUUCUUUUCUAUACAAAAUAAAAAACAUAAUACACAACACAACAAUUGAGACAUUCUAAGCUAUUUGAGAUACUUACUGAACAUACUGAUUGAUGCUUCUGAAAUACAUAUGUACUCUCGGUGUUUAAUAUGAUAUACCACUCGUAUCAUCAUCAACAACAACAACAACAACAACAGCACAAGAAAACAACAACAACAACAACCAGUACAAGUACAACAACAACAACAACAACCUACAUCUACUACAGAAGUAACCUUAUAUUUACUAUAUAUAUUAUAAAGAAAAGCCAUUUUUUCAACAGAACCAACUAAAAAUACCAACAAAAUACUAUCAAAAUACCAAAAAAUACCAAAAAAAUACCACACCAUUAUUUCUCAACGUUGUGUAAAUUUUCACUUACUUCUUUUGCAUAGUUCACAGUCACUCACACACACAGACACACACACACACACACACACACACACACAUCAUAUAGUCACAUGCAUUUAAAUAGCCAAGAAAUAUGGUGUUGUAAAUGUUAAAAGUUAUGUACAGUUCCAACAAAAAAAAAAUACCAAAGAAAUAAAUGUACAAUUUACAGAUUACAGUAAAUACCAUAUAGUGAAUAUAGCUAAUAUAUAUAAUAUAUAUAUAUAGAUGAUAUAAUAUAUCACAACAGUAUCAUAAUGAACAAUCAACAUUAAUACAAAACAAUAUUAAACAGAAAACAAAAAAAAAAAAAAACAACAAAUACCGAGAAAUUAUACUAUGUCCCUGCCUGAAUGCCACAGGCUUUUAUUGAACCAAAUACUUUGGGUGUUGCUCAACACUGUUUCCCUUCACACAGGCUUUGAGUGUUGUUCAACACUGCUUCACUUGCAAAAAUACCGAGAAAUUAUACUACUAUGUCUCUUUCUGAACGACACAAACUUUCAUUGAACCAAUCUUUUGCGUGUUGUUCAACACUGUUUCACUUGCAUCUUCUGACUUACAGAAACUACAAUAAAAAACGAAAAAUUAUACUAUCUCCUUUUCUGAACGACACAAACUUUCAUUGAACCAAACUUUUGCGUGUUGUUCAACACUGUUUGACUUAAAACAGGCUUUCACUGUACCAAUCUUUUGCGUGUUGUUCAACACUAUUUCACUUAAAACAGGCUUUCACUGUACCAAUAUUUUGCUUGUUGUUCAACACUAUUUCACUUGCAUCUUCUGAUUAACGGCAACAGUAAAAGAACUAUCUAAUUUCGGGCUGCAUAAAUGCCUCUCAAUCUCUGUCAAUCUAAUAAAGCAAUCCCCUAGUGCCCCCCCCCCCCCCCCCCGCGCGACGCUCCAGACAAGAAAUGUCGGGAACGAUCGAACGAUUGAAUGCCUUACAGUGGCUCCUAUGAAAAGCGCAUAGAUACUAUAUCCGAAGGAAGCUUAAGAUCUUUAACUUCAAACUACUUACUGCAACUACUACGCCUAGAGCCUAGCAUAAUGCUAACUACUAUUCUACUCUAUAUACAUAUAAAUGUAUAUAUAUAUGUACAGAUAUAUAUAUAUUUUCCCCAAAAAGCAACAGAUUUUACUAGUUUUACCGAACCCAAGUCUUAUGCUCUUUCAAAUUCUUAGCUCUUAAAUCUAAACGAGAAAAUGCUUUCUACUUAACAUACUUACAUAUAGCGAAAUGUUUAACUAGAUUCUAUAAAGGAAAUAUCUCUAUUGCGUUCUUUCAAAAACAUAUAUAUAUGAUAUUGAAGUUCACUUUAAUUGUUUACGAAAAAACCAAAAAAAAAAAAAACAAAAAAACAAAAACGAAUCAAGCAUUCAAAAAAAAACAAAAAAAAACUUAUACAAAAAAAAAUAUAUAUAUAUAUACAAGAACAAAAAAAAAACAGAAACAUAUUAUUCAAUCAUAACGAAAGAAUUUUAACGUAAAUCAUAAAAAAUGUUAAAGAAAAACAAACAAAUGUUAAAAAAAAAAUGGUUCAGAUGAAUUUUUUAUUGUUUUGACGUUUAAUAUUACAUAUAUAUAUAUAUAUAUAUAGUUAUGAUAAUGUAUGUAUAUGUAUAUCGGAAAGUUUAUAGCAAGCAGAUUAUUAUUGAAUAUUAUUAAAUAUGCAUAUGCAUGCCUAUAUAUACAUACAUAUACACACAUGAAAUUAUAUAUGUGUGUAUAGCUAUGCAUAUGUGUAACCAAAUAGGGAAAUGAAUUUAAACAAAACAUCAAACCAAAUAUGAGAAUAAUGUUGAAAAUUAUAACAUUCAAGUCAUUAUUAGAUGUGAAAGCAGUUCUAUAUACACAGCAAAACCAAGAAAACAAAAAACAAAAACGAAAAUGAAAAACAAAAUAAAAAAAAAAAACAUAAGGAAAA
RNA transcript from Drosophila montana, 4406 nucleotides. It is a transcript of the gene named complexin, with no coding region annotated. Lineage: Eukaryota; Metazoa; Arthropoda; Insecta; Diptera; Drosophilidae. The record is from RefSeq and is a predicted model, not a curated record. The transcript has 8 exons.